AGGAACUGAAUUCAAAAUUCCUUGGCUCCAAGGAUUUGGUUUGAAGCCUAAAGAAAACAAGACAAGUUGGAAACAAAUCAAAAUUUAGCUCUCUUAAACUAACAUUGAAUCACAGGAGCAAGGGGAGGAAGACACACAGGAUUCAGGAUUUUGCCUUUUUUGUUCACUUAUUUCAAGGGUUGCAAUGGCCACAUAUUUCAAUACUAACUAGUAAGUCUAUUGUUGAUAAGUAUUUCUGUAUUUAGCUCAUCUAGCCCUUAAACAGCAGAGUCUGAUUCUAAAAAUAGACUUCUUACAAAAUAGCCUUUACAAAAUAAUGGAUGCCAACAGUGCUUGAACUCAUCAGGAAUAGCUUUUAAGACUACAUAAGCCAAGUUGAGGCAUUAAUUAUAAAACUUUCCAAAAAAGAAACAGAUUGCAUCCAUAAGCAAAGAAUUGCUUGUCCCUUUAGAUAUUCUCCUGAAGGUUAAAUACCCAUUGUUGGGACUUCUAUUUGUUAGCUUUGUCCUAAAUAAAC
RNAcentral lists this long non-coding RNA (517 nucleotides) under Monodelphis domestica (gray short-tailed opossum). RNAcentral describes it as "lncRNA (ENSMODG00000044427.1)". Lineage: Eukaryota; Metazoa; Chordata; Mammalia; Didelphimorphia; Didelphidae. The record is from RNAcentral.